Molecule: unclassified non-coding RNA, 350 nt
Filed under: Hevea brasiliensis (rubber tree)
Lineage: Eukaryota; Viridiplantae; Streptophyta; Magnoliopsida; Malpighiales; Euphorbiaceae
Source: RNAcentral
UUGUAAUCCCUAUGCAGCGCAGCAGGAUUCUUUGGUCGCGAGAUCGGGGAGCUUGAGGCCUGUGCUCGGGGAGACUUUGACGCCGUUGAUUGAAGGUCCGGAUCCUGAUGGAGGUGAAGAGGAGUCAAAGCGGGUGGGUUCAAGUCUUGGGCACUGGAUGAAAGGGCAAUUAUCGAGGACUCCGUCGGUUUCUAGCGUGGCGUAUAGGAGUUCUGAUCUGAGGUUACUUCUUGGGGUUAUGGGUGCACCCUUGGCUCCGUUGCAUGUUAGCACUAUGGACCCUUUGCCUCACCUUAGCAUUAAAGACACGCCCAUUGAAACUUCCUCUGCUCAGUACAUAUUGCAGCAGC